UACGUAGGGCGCAAGCGUUGUCCGGAAUUAUUGGGCGUAAAGAGCUCGUAGGCGGUUUGUCGCGUCUGAUGUGAAAACCUGAGGCUCAACCUCGGGCUUGCAGUGGGUACGGGCAGACUAGAGUGCGGUAGGGGUGACUGGAAUUCCUGGUGUAGCGGUGGAAUGCGCAGAUAUCAGGAGGAACACCGAUGGCGAAGGCAGGUCACUGGGCCGCAACUGACGCUGAGGAGCGAAAGCAUGGGGAGCGAACAGG
Molecule: ribosomal RNA, 253 nt
Filed under: uncultured bacterium
Lineage: Bacteria
Description: partial 16S ribosomal RNA
Rfam family: Bacterial small subunit ribosomal RNA
Source: RNAcentral